UGCAAGUCGAACGAGACCUUCGGGCUUAGUGGCGCACGGGUGCGUAACGCGUGGGAAUCUGCCCCUGGGUUCGGAAUAACAGUUAGAAACGACUGCUAAUACCGGAUGAUGACGAAAGUCCAAAGAUUUAUCGCCCAAGGAUGAGCCCGCGUAGGAUUAGGUAGUUGGUGAGGUAAAGGCUCACCAAGCCGAUGAUCCUUAGCUGGUCUGAGAGGAUGAUCAGCCACACUGGGACUGAGACACGGCCCAGACUCCUACGGGAGGCAGCAGUGGGGAAUAUUGGACAAUGGGCGAAAGCCUGAUCCAGCAAUGCCGCGUGAGUGAUGAAGGCCUUUGGGUUGUAAAGCUCUUUUACCCGGGAUGAUAAUGACAGUACCGGGAGAAUAAGCCCCGGCUAACUCCGUGCCAGCAGCCGCGGUAAU
RNAcentral lists this ribosomal RNA (422 nucleotides) under uncultured Sphingomonas sp. RNAcentral's name for it is "bacterial SSU rRNA". It matches the Rfam family "Bacterial small subunit ribosomal RNA", at positions 56 to 524 of the family's 1533-position model. Lineage: Bacteria; Pseudomonadati; Pseudomonadota; Alphaproteobacteria; Sphingomonadales; Sphingomonadaceae. The record is from RNAcentral.